GUGCUCACUUCGGCAGCACAUGUACGAAAACCAGAACGCUACAAAGAAGGUUAGUGUGGCCCCUGUGCCAGGAUAACACACAGAUUCGUGAAGCAUUCCAUAUAAAA
Molecule: small nuclear RNA, 107 nt
Organism: Hyaena hyaena (striped hyena)
Lineage: Eukaryota; Metazoa; Chordata; Mammalia; Carnivora; Hyaenidae
Source: RefSeq, a predicted model, not a curated record